UAGAAAUAAAGGCUGGAAUGUUCCAUAGGAACUCGGAGCAUGGGACAGAGGGGCCCAGCACACACUCUGUGUGGGCUGUUGAAAGCCAGUCCCUUGGCUUUCCUCUGUGACUCUAAAUAGGUGAAAUCACAUUACCCUGCAGCAGCCAGUAACUAUUUCCAUGACACUGCCCAGCAUCUGUGCUCAGUGUGCCUGGGUUCACCCGAUGAAAACAAAGUAGAACGCAGUCCAGGCUCUCCGUGUCCAGCUAAUGUCCACCCAGUGUCAGCCUGACAGAGACUGUGGUGACCGAGAGAAAAUGCUUGAGAUUUAAGGACUGAUCUAUUGGACUAUCCCAGAAAGAAAGGAGCAGCCUGCCCCAGAUCCCCAAGAGACAACAUCUUGAGCGCAUAUGUUAUGCUGGGCUCUGCAUUGACAGAUCCAAGAACUCCAGCGCAAAAUCACCAAAGUUCCCAAGUUAAAAAUGAAAGUAAGAUCAUCAAAAUUGGUAUUCUUAUUGCGACAUUCCCAGCAACUUCAUAAACAGCCAUGAAAGUGGACAGCACCGCAGGGACCUCAGGCUGCUUCGUGAGCUGUUCCUCGCUCAGGCAGUGCACUGCUCGGGGGAAGAGACCUGUGAGGUGCUGUGAGAUGGGAGCGAGCCAACUGCCGGAGGAAGAGAGCCGAC
Long non-coding RNA from Peromyscus maniculatus bairdii (prairie deer mouse), 667 nucleotides. RefSeq lists it as uncharacterized. NCBI's taxonomy places the organism in Eukaryota, Metazoa, Chordata, Mammalia, Rodentia, Cricetidae. The record is from RefSeq and is a predicted model, not a curated record.